CGGCGAUAUGUACACAUCUGAGAGCCAGUUCACCUCUCUGUAUUUAAAGAGAUUACUAUCAAAUCCUAUUUUACCUGAAGAUUCUUCUCAAGUUCCACUUAUUCUUUAAUUGUAACCAACCUACACCCUAAAAUACCACACCAAAUCUGACAUAGUUGUUACCUUAAAAAUACUCAUAUCAAAGGUAUUAGAAUGACGGUAUAUGAGCCAGAUGGGGUAAGUACCAACGCGAAAAUACGAUUCUGAGGCAGGUUCCUCUGAGCGGAUCAGAUGCCGCCAAGUCCUCUGGGUUUUAAGAAUAUAGCUAUUACUACCCCACCCAGGGUAGCUCCAAAUAAUAGGGUAUCU
RNAcentral lists this ribosomal RNA (348 nucleotides) under Oniscidea sp. JXAUM-L14098. RNAcentral's name for it is "partial 12S ribosomal RNA". RNAcentral also lists the same sequence under 2 other names. Lineage: Eukaryota; Metazoa; Arthropoda; Malacostraca; Isopoda. The record is from RNAcentral.